AUGGCGGACCUGAGCUACACCCGCGGCGGUGCCGGAGGAGGGGAGGGCUGCGGCCGCGACGCGAGGGGAGGGGAGGGGAGGGGGAUGGCUGCGCGGGGCGGGGAGAGCGAGGGAGCGUCAGAAUCCGACGAGUCCGAGGCAGAGAGGGAGACCCUAGAGGCCAUGGCGCAGCGGGAGGUGGGCGCCGUCUGUGGAGUGGAGGGCGGCGCAGUUGGUGGCGGCCGGCGCCGGAGUGGCGGCCGGCGCAGAGCUCAAGGGAGCGGGGAGCGGCUCAGAGCGGCGCAGAGCUCCGAAGUCCCCAACUCGCGCACUUCUUCCGCUGUCUUUAGCAUGAACAAUAUAAAUGCGCACAUUUGGUUUAAAAUUUGUUCAUAUAUAAGACCAAUAUAA
RNAcentral lists this ribosomal RNA (390 nucleotides) under Triticum aestivum (bread wheat). Its description in RNAcentral is "partial small subunit ribosomal RNA". The record is from RNAcentral. Lineage: Eukaryota; Viridiplantae; Streptophyta; Magnoliopsida; Poales; Poaceae.